GAUGAACGCUGGCGGCGUGCCUAAUACAUGCAAGUCGAACGGAGAGCAACUAGUAAUUUAUUACUGGAUGUUUCUUAGUGGCGAACGGGUGAGUAACGCGUUGGUGACCUGCCUCGAAGUGUGGAAUAACUCCGGGAAACUGGAGCUAAUACCGCAUGUGGUAUGUGGAUUUAGAAACCACUUACUAAAGGUCUUCGGACCGCUUUGAGAGGGGCCUGCGUCCCAUCAGCUAGUUGGUAGGGUAAUGGCCUACCAAGGCUAUGACGGGUAGGGGACCUGAGAGGGUGAUCCCCCACAAUGGAACUGAAACACGGUCCAUACACCUACGGGUGGCAGCAGUAGGGAAUAUUGCACAAUGGGCGAAAGCCUGAUGCAGCAACGCCGCGUGUGCGAUGAAGGCCUUCGGGUUGUAAAGCACUUUUCUGAGGGAAGAGGAAGGACUGUACCUCAGGAACAAGUCUCGGCUAACUACGUG
RNAcentral lists this ribosomal RNA (475 nucleotides) under uncultured Chloroflexota bacterium. Its description in RNAcentral is "bacterial SSU rRNA". It matches the Rfam family "Bacterial small subunit ribosomal RNA", at positions 28 to 507 of the family's 1533-position model. Lineage: Bacteria; Bacillati; Chloroflexota. The record is from RNAcentral.